GAUGAACGCUGGCGGCAGGCUUAAUACAUGCAAGUCGAACGGUAACAGUACUAGCAAUAGUAGCUGACGAGUGGCGCACGGGUGCGUAACGCGUAUGCAACCUACCCAUAAUUGGAACAUAACGUUGAGAAAUUAGCGCUAAUAUUCCAUGUGAAUAUGAUAAGGCAUCUUAUUAUAUUUAAAGAUUCAUUGAUUAUGGAUGGGCAUGCGUAUCAUUAGCUAGUUGGUGAGGUAACGGCUCACCAAGGCGACGAUGAUUAGGGGUUCUGAGAGGAUUUCCCCCCAACUGGAACUGAGACACGGUCCAGACUCCUACGGGAGGCAGCAGUAGGGAAUAUUGGGCAAUGGAAGCAAUUCUGACCCAGCCAUGCCGCGUGAAGGAAUACAGCCCUAUGGGUUUUAAACUUCUUUUAUAUAGAGUAAACGGGGUACGUGUACCUCCCUGCAAGUAUAUGAUGAAUAAGGUCGGCUAACUCGUGCC
This 481-nucleotide ribosomal RNA is filed under the name uncultured bacterium. RNAcentral's name for it is "bacterial SSU rRNA". It matches the Rfam family "Bacterial small subunit ribosomal RNA", at positions 28 to 509 of the family's 1533-position model. The record is from RNAcentral.